Molecule: ribosomal RNA, 218 nt
Filed under: uncultured Pseudomonas sp.
Lineage: Bacteria; Pseudomonadati; Pseudomonadota; Gammaproteobacteria; Pseudomonadales; Pseudomonadaceae
Description: partial 16S ribosomal RNA
Rfam family: Bacterial small subunit ribosomal RNA
Source: RNAcentral
AGGAAGGUGGGGAUGACGUCAAGUCAUCAUGGCCCUUACGGCCUGGGCUACACACGUGCUACAAUGGUCGGUACAAAGGGUUGCCAAGCCGCGAGGUGGAGCUAACUCCCAAUAAAACCGAUCGUAGUCCGGAUCGCAGUCUGCAACUCGACUGCGUGAAGUCGGAAUCGCUAGUAAUCGUGAAUCAGAAUGUCACGGUGAAUACGUUCCCGGGCCUU